RNAcentral lists this ribosomal RNA (239 nucleotides) under uncultured bacterium. Its description in RNAcentral is "partial 16S ribosomal RNA". It matches the Rfam family "Bacterial small subunit ribosomal RNA", at positions 92 to 334 of the family's 1533-position model. The record is from RNAcentral.
CGAGUGGCGAACGGGUGAGUAAUGCAUCGGAACGUGCCCAGUAGUGGGGGAUAGCCCGGCGAAAGCCGGAUUAAUACCGCAUACGACCUACGGGUGUAAGGGGGGGAUCGCAAGACCUCUCGCUAUUGGAGCGGCCGAUGUCAGAUUAGGUAGUUGGUGGGGUAAAGGCCUACCAAGCCUACGAUCUGUAGCUGGUCUGAGAGGACGACCAGCCACACUGGGACUGAGACACGGCCCAG